CGAACGGCAGCACGGACUUCGGUCUGGGUGGCAGUGGCGAACGGGUGAGUAAUGUAUCGGAACGUGCCUAGUAGCGGGGAUAACUACGCAGAAAGCGUAGCUAAUACCGCAUACGCCCUUCGGGGGAAAAGCGAGACCUUCGGGCCUCGCACUAUUAGAGCGGCCGAUAUCGGAUUAGCUGGUUGGUGGGGUAACGGCUCGCAAGGCGACGAUCCGUAGCUGGUUUGAGAGAGGACGACCAGCCACACUGGGACUGAGACACGGCCCGAACUCCUACAGGAGGCAGCAGUGGGGAAUUUUGGACAAUGGGGAAACCCUGAUCAGCCAUCCCGCGUGUGCGAUGAAGGCCUUCGGGUUGUAAAGCACUUUUGGCAGAAAAAGCAGCGGGAUAAUACCCCGUGCAGCUGACGGUACCUGCAGAAUAAGCGCAAUAACGUGCCAGCAGCCGCGGUAAUACGUAGAAGUUUUAAGCGUUAAUCUGAAUUACUGGGCGUAAAGCGUGCGCAGGCAGUUCGGAAAGAAAGAUGUGAAAUCCCAGAGCUUAACUUUGGAACUGCAUUUUUAACUACCGAGCUAGAGUGUGUCAGAAGUGGAAUUCCGUAGUAUAGCAGUGAAAUGCGUAGAUAUGCGGAGGGAACACCGAUGGCGAAGUACAGCCUCACAGGAUAACACUGACGCUCAUGCACGAAAGCGUGGAGCAAACAGGAUUAGAUACCCUGUUAGUCCACGCCCUAAAGCGAUGUCAACUAGCUGUUGGGGCCUUCGGGCCUUGGUAGCGCAGCUAACGCGUGAAGUUGACCGCCUGGGGAGGCCGCGAUUCGCAAGAUUAAAACUCAAAGGAAUUGACGGGGACCCACUGGCAGUGGAUGAUGUGGAUUAAUUCAGUACAGCAUGAAAAGCCUUACCUACCCUUGACAUGUCUGGAAUCCCGAAGAGAUUUUGAGGGUGCUCGCAAGAGAACCGGAACACAGGUGCUGCAUAGCUGUCGAUAGCUCGUGUCGUGAGAUGUUGGGUUCAGUCCCUUAACUGAAGCGCAACCCUUGUCAUUAGUUGCUACGAAAGACGCUCUAAUGAGACUGCCGGUGACAAACCGGAGGAAGGUGGAUGACGUCAGUCCUCAUGGCCCUUAUGGGUAGGGCUUCACACGUCAUACAAUGGUCGGGACAGAGGGUCGCCAACCCGCGAGGGCUUCAAUCCCAAGCUUGAUCGUAGUCCGGAUCAUGAUCUGCAACUCGACUGCGUGAAGUCGGAAUCGCUAGUAAUCGCGGGGAUCAGCAUGUCGCGGUGAAUACGUUCCCGGGUCUUGUACCCCGCCCGUCACCGCAUGGGAGUGGGUUUUACCAGAAGUGAUUUAGCCUAACCGUAAGGAGGGCGGGUACCACAUUAGGAUUCAUGACUGGGGUGAAGUGUGUCGAAUGGCGC
This 1422-nucleotide ribosomal RNA is filed under the name uncultured Bordetella sp. RNAcentral's name for it is "partial 16S-23S ribosomal RNA intergenic spacer". It matches the Rfam family "Bacterial small subunit ribosomal RNA". The record is from RNAcentral. Lineage: Bacteria; Pseudomonadati; Pseudomonadota; Betaproteobacteria; Burkholderiales; Alcaligenaceae.